UAACGCGUAGGCAACCUACCCUUUAGACGGGGACAACAUUCCGAAAGGAGUGCUAAUACCGGAUGUGAUCAUCGUGCCGCAUGGCAGGAUGAAGAAAGAUGGCCUCUACAAGUAAGCUAUCGCUAAAGGAUGGGCCUGCGUCUGAUUAGCUAGUUGGUAGUGUAACGGACUACCAAGGCGAUGAUCAGUAGCCGGUCUGAGAGGAUGAACGGCCACAUUGGGACUGAGACACGGCCCAAACUCCUACGGGAGGCAGCAGUGGGGAAUCUUCCGCAAUGGACGAAAGUCUGACGGAGCAACGCCGCGUGAGUGAUGAAGGAUUUCGGUCUGUAAAGCUCUGUUGUUUAUGACGAACGUGCAGUGUGUGAACAAUGCAUUGCAAUGACGGUAGUAAACGAGGAAGCCACGGCUAACUACGUGCCAGCAGCCGCGGUAAUACGUAGGUGGCGAGCGUUGUCCGGAAUUAUUGGGCGUAAAGAGCAUGUAGGCGGCUUAAUAAGUCGAGCGUGAAAAUGCGGGGCUCAACCCCGUAUGGCGCUGGAAACUGUUAGGCUUGAGUGCAGGAGAGGAAAGGGGAAUUCCCAGUGUAGCGGUGAAAUGCGUAGAUAUUGGGAGGAACACCAGUGGCGAAGGCGCCUUUCUGGACUGUGUCUGACGCUGAGAUGCGAAAGCCAGGGUAGCGAACGGGAUUAGAUACCCCGGU
Molecule: ribosomal RNA, 703 nt
Filed under: uncultured bacterium
Lineage: Bacteria
Description: bacterial SSU rRNA
Rfam family: Bacterial small subunit ribosomal RNA
Source: RNAcentral